UACGGAGGAUCCGAGCGUUAUCCGGAAUUAUUGGGUUUAAAGGGUGCGUAGGCGGCCAUUUAAGUCAGCGGUGAAAUUUUGCAGCUUAACUGUAACAGUGCCGUUGAUACUGUUUGGCUAGGAUUUGGUUGUAGUGUGCGGAAUGUGUGGUAUAGCGGUGAAAUGCUUAGAGAUCACACAGAAUAUCGAUUGCGAAGGCAGCUCACAAAGCCAAGAUUGACGCUGAGGCACGAAAGUGUGGGGAUCAAACAGGA
RNAcentral lists this ribosomal RNA (254 nucleotides) under uncultured prokaryote. RNAcentral's name for it is "partial 16S ribosomal RNA". It matches the Rfam family "Bacterial small subunit ribosomal RNA", at positions 524 to 777 of the family's 1533-position model. The record is from RNAcentral.